UACGGGAGGCAGCAGUGGGGAAUAUUGCACAAUGGGCGCAAGCCUGAUGCAGCCAUGCCGCGUGUAUGAAAAAGGCCUUCGGGUUGUAAAGUACUUUCAGUCGUGAGGAAGGUGUUAAGGUUAAUAACCUUAGCAAUUGACGUUAGCGACAGAAGAAGCACCGGCUAACUCCGUGCCAGCAGCCGCGGUAAUACGGAGGGUGCGAGCGUUAAUCGGAAUUACUGGGCGUAAAGGGCACGCAGGCGGUUAAUUAAGUUGGAUGUGAAAUCCCCGGGCUUAACCUGGGAAUGGCAUUCAAGACUGGUUAGCUAGAGUCUUGUAGAGGGGGUAGAAUUCCAUGUGUAGCGGUGAAAUGCGUAGAGAUGUGGAGGAAUACCGGUGGCGAAGGCGGCCCCUGGACAAAGACUGACGCUCAUGUGCGAAAGCGUGGGGAGCGAAAACAGGGAUUAGAUA
RNAcentral lists this ribosomal RNA (453 nucleotides) under uncultured bacterium. RNAcentral's name for it is "bacterial SSU rRNA". It matches the Rfam family "Bacterial small subunit ribosomal RNA", at positions 340 to 784 of the family's 1533-position model. The record is from RNAcentral.